This 372-nucleotide ribosomal RNA is filed under the name Triticum aestivum (bread wheat). RNAcentral's name for it is "partial small subunit ribosomal RNA". Lineage: Eukaryota; Viridiplantae; Streptophyta; Magnoliopsida; Poales; Poaceae. The record is from RNAcentral.
AUGCAUGUCUUUGUCAGGCAGUACAUGAGGCUCCAAUUUGACACUGAGCGCAAUGAGAGCUACGAGGAGAAAAGGACCAUGAUUGGCGGCCCGGUGAGACGAACUAACCUCGCAAUAGAGCGGCAUGCUAGCAAAAUAUACACUAGGAACAUGUUUGAGGAAUUUGGUCGCCUGCUGAUUGAAGGAACGGCGUACAAUGUUACUGAAGUUGAUAAGAUGAGGAGGUACAUCACCACUCGAAACAAUGCAGCGAAAAGAGAGAAGUGGAGUAGGGUCGAGUAUGAGGUAACCAUAAACAAAUACAAAACAAUAUUCACUUGCGAGUGUGGUCAGUUUGAGCACACUGUAAUGAUUUGCAGCCAUGCAUUGAGG